UACGGGAGGCAGCAGUGGGGAAUAUUGCACAAUGGGCGCAAGCCUGAUGCAGCCAUGCCGCGUGUAUGAAAAGGGCCUUCGGGUUGUAAAGUACUUUCAGUCGUGAGGAAGGUGUUAAGGUUAAUAACCUUAGCAAUUGACGUUAGCGACAGAAGAAGCACCGGCUAACUCCGUGCCAGCAGCCGCGGUAAUACGGAGGGUGCGAGCGUUAAUCGGAAUUACUGGGCGUAAAGGGCACGCAGGCGGUUAAUUAAGUUUGGAUGUGAAAUCCCCGGGCUUAACCUGGGAAUGGCAUUCAAGACUGGUUAGCUAGAGUCUUGUAGAGGGGGUUAGAAUUCCAUGUGUAGCGGUGAAAUGCGUAGAGAUGUGGAGGAAUACCGGUGGCGAAGGCGGCCCCUGGGACAAAGACUGACGCUCAUGUGCGAAAGCGUGGGGAGCAAACAGGGAUUAGAUACC
Molecule: ribosomal RNA, 456 nt
Filed under: uncultured bacterium
Lineage: Bacteria
Description: bacterial SSU rRNA
Rfam family: Bacterial small subunit ribosomal RNA
Source: RNAcentral